This 374-nucleotide ribosomal RNA is filed under the name uncultured organism. Its description in RNAcentral is "partial 16S ribosomal RNA". It matches the Rfam family "Bacterial small subunit ribosomal RNA", at positions 527 to 896 of the family's 1533-position model. The record is from RNAcentral.
GUAGGUGGCAAGCGUUGUCCGGAAUUAUUGGGCGUAAAGCGCGCGCAGGCGGUUCUUUAAGUCUGAUGUGAAAGCCCACGGCUCAACCGUGGAGGGUCAUUGGAAACUGGAGAACUUGAGUACAGAAGAGGAAAGCGGAAUUCCACGUGUAGCGGUGAAAUGCGUAGAGAUGUGGAGGAACACCAGUGGCGAAGGCGGCUUUCCUGGUCUGUAACUGACGCUGAGGCGCGAAAGCGUGGGGAGCAAACAGGGAUUAGAUACCCUGGUAGUCCACGCCGUAAACGAUGAGUGCUAAGUGUUAGGGGGUUUCCGCCCCCUUAGUGCUGCAGCUAACGCAUUAAGCACUCCGCCUGGGGAGUACGGCCGCAAGGCUG